GGGACACAGCCUCACGCUCUUGCCCAAGGUUCCACAGCCGUUUCCACAACCACACGUUCGCCCGCAGUCCCUGCCUCUUCCCUCUUCCCUCGCCCGCUGCGGGACGGGGCAACAGAGUAAACUGAGGCCACGGCGCCAUCACCUGUCUCCGCGCUCCCCGAAAGUGGCUCUUCUCUCUGGAGGUCUUCGGCCACAGUUCCUGGGCAACAGAGAAGCCUGAAGUUAGGACGCUGGACUCGACUUCUCCUCUGGGCGCAUAGUGGCAAGCGUGCCAGCAGCCCCACGCCGCGCGCCGCCAUUGUCAGAGCAGCAGACGCACGGAGCCGAAAGGUCAGCGUGCUUCCGCGCAUGCACUCUGAGAAGAGGAAACUGAAUGAGGCGCACAAGUCAGACCCCCAAGUCCAACUUGCAGUGCUAUUGCUUUGUCCUCUACAAAAGGAAAAGAAGAAAGAAAGAAAAGAUCCUUGGAGGGGGCAAGAGAGAAGCGAGAUUGCCCUGCCGUGUCCUUUCCUCCGCAGGCUGCUGUACCUCCCAGAGCAUCUAUAACUGGCUCCCUUAGGAGAUGCUCUGCCCAGCUGUCUUCCUGUGGGUAGAAGUGCCUGCCCCUGCCAGGGGGUCACAAGGCGGAAGAAACCAACCGCUAGCUGGAUGGGGACCGGCACCUGGGGAAGGGCCUGAUCCCUCCUCAGGAUGGAGCCCACAUGCUGUCUCCGUGGUAGCCACUUCUGUUUGGUCUAUGGCAACCCAGCCGGGUUAGGGAGAGAAGCCUCCCAGAGAAGAUUUAUAGGUAAAAGCUCAAAGACACUAAAAACUAGGCUUGUUCUUAUCUGUUCCAACGCACUAAAAAAUGAGCGCUCUGUGGAGGUCCCAGGGACUCAAAAAUAUGCCUUUAAAUGGACCUUUCUAAAGAAACUGUUAAGAUCUCUCUAAAGCCUCUGCAAACUAUGUCAGACAUUCAACGGUUUCCUAGCUGGGUAUUUCCUUCAUAAUGUCUUGUUUCUUAUCAAUAUUAGAUAUUUUUCCAAGAACUCAAGGGACAUUUGCAGCGGGAUAAUCCAGUUCACAUGGUAAAGAUGAAACCACUACCACAGAGCUUGUGAUGCAAUGCAGUAAGCGUAAUAAAACAGCCACUAAAUGAAACCAGAAGGUUCCGUAUCUUAAAAGAAAAACCACAGUGAUAAGGCUUCAACCUGCGGGGUUGGUUACCCAGGUUUCUCCACGCACUGACACGGGUUUCUGUUACUUAGUAGUUACUGUUACCAUUCAGCUGGAAGAAAGCUCAACCACCAAUAAGCUCUACUUGAUUUCUCCAGCAUCGAAGAGGUUAAAUUUUUCACUCUAUGUCUGUCUUUUUUCCCCUAUAAUCUCACUGUUUUCUACAUUUAAACAUUGAAAUGAUGACCACAUUUACUAAGUAUCUUGGUUUCCAAAAUAAAGAAACUAAAGCUCAGAAGGAUUAAAUAGCUUUUCCAAAUCACACAGCUAGUA
Long non-coding RNA from Lemur catta (Ring-tailed lemur), 1488 nucleotides. RefSeq lists it as uncharacterized. The transcript has 3 exons. The record is from RefSeq and is a predicted model, not a curated record. NCBI's taxonomy places the organism in Eukaryota, Metazoa, Chordata, Mammalia, Primates, Lemuridae.